UUGAACCUACGGGGGGCAGCAGUAGGGAAUCUUCCACAAUGGGCGAAAGCCUGAUGGAGCAACGCCGCGUGGGUGAAGAAGGUCUUCGGAUCGUAAACCCCUGUUGUUAGAGAAGAAAGUGCGUGAGAGUAACUGUUCACGUUUCGACGGUAUCUAACCAGAAAGCCACGGCUAACUACGUGCCAGCAGCCGCGGUAAUACGUAGGGGGCAAGCGUUAUCCGGAUUUACUGGGUGUAAAGGGAGCGUAGGCGGCAAGGUAA
This 261-nucleotide ribosomal RNA is filed under the name uncultured bacterium. RNAcentral's name for it is "partial 16S ribosomal RNA". It matches the Rfam family "Bacterial small subunit ribosomal RNA", at positions 331 to 586 of the family's 1533-position model. The record is from RNAcentral.